GAUGAACGCUGGCGGCGUGCCUAAUACGUGCAAGUCGAGCGAACAGACGAGGAGCUUGCUCCUCUGACGUUAGCGGCGGACGGGUGAGUAACACGUGGAUAACCUACCUAUAAGACUGGGAUAACUUCGGGAAACCGGAGCUAAUACCGGAUAAUAUAUUCAACCGCAUGGUUCAAUAGUGAAAGACGGUUUUGCUGUCACUUAUAGAUGGAUCCGCGCCGCAUUAGCUAGUUGGUAAGGUAACGGCUUACCAAGGCAACGAUGCGUAGCCGACCUGAGAGGGUGGUCGGCCACACUGGAACUGAGACACGGUCCAGACUCCUACGGGAGGCAGCAGUAGGGAAUCUUACGCAAUGGGCGAAAGCCUGACGGAGCAACGCCGCGUGAGUGAUGAAGGUCUUCGGAUCGUAAAACUCUGUUAUUAGGGAAGAACAAAUGUGUAAGUAACUAUGCACGUCUUGACGGUACCUAAUCAGAAAGCCACGGCUAACUACGUG
RNAcentral lists this ribosomal RNA (497 nucleotides) under uncultured bacterium. Its description in RNAcentral is "partial 16S ribosomal RNA". It matches the Rfam family "Bacterial small subunit ribosomal RNA", at positions 28 to 507 of the family's 1533-position model. The record is from RNAcentral.